GAUGAAGAACGUAGCGAAAUGCGAUAAGUAAUGUGAAUUGCAGAAUUCAGUGAAUCAUCGAAUCUUUGAACGCACAUUGCGCCCGCCAGCAUUCUGGCGGGCAUGCCUGUUCGAGCGUCAUUUCAACCCUCGACCUCCCUUUGGGGAAGUCGGCGUUGGGGACCGGCAGCACACCGCCGGCCCUGAAAUGGAGUGGCGGCCCGUCCGCAGCGACCUCUGCGUAGUAAACCAACUCGCACCGGAACCCCGACGUGGCCACGCCGUAAAACACCCAACUUCUGAACGUUGACCUCGAAUCAGGUAGGACUACCCGCUGAACUUAAGCAUAUCAAUAAGCGGAGGA
This 343-nucleotide unclassified non-coding RNA is filed under the name soil metagenome. Its description in RNAcentral is "partial contains 5.8S ribosomal RNA, internal transcribed spacer 2, and large subunit ribosomal RNA". The stretch from base 1 to 120 matches the Rfam family "5.8S ribosomal RNA", at positions 35 to 154 of the family's 154-position model. The record is from RNAcentral.